CUCUCUUGGAUUGUAUCUCUAGACAACAAGUGGCAUCAGAGCAGAAACUCUCUUUCACUUAUGUGUCUUAUGAUCUAGAGUAAAAGAUCAAGAUGACAAUCCAAUUGAAUAUUUCUCUAGCGGAAAGACAAUCCACUAACUGACCUCCUUUAUUCAAUGGCUCAAAUUACACUUAUUGGGAAGCACGCAUACGCAUAUUCAUUCAAGCGCUUGAUUAUAAUCUAUGAGGUGUUAUAAUCAAUAGACUAUAUAUACUCACAGUCAC
This 265-nucleotide long non-coding RNA is filed under the name Elaeis guineensis (African oil palm). RNAcentral describes it as "long non-coding RNA (EGUI_LNC031727)". Lineage: Eukaryota; Viridiplantae; Streptophyta; Magnoliopsida; Arecales; Arecaceae. The record is from RNAcentral.